CGGGUGAGUAACACGUAGGUAAUCUACCUUCGGGUGGGGAAUAACGCAGGGAAACUUGCGCUAAUACCGCAUAAUGCAGCGGCACCACAUGGUGACAGUUGUUAAAGCGGGGGAUUUUCGAACCUCGCGCCUGAAGAGGAGCCUGCGGCAGAUUAGCUAGUUGGUAAGGUAACGGCUUACCAAGGCGACGAUCUGUAGCCGGCCUGAGAGGGCGGUCGGCCACACUGACACUGACAUACGGGUCAGACUCCUACGGGAGGCAGCAGUCGGGAAUUUUGGGCAAUGGGCGAAAGCCUGACCCAGCAACGCCGCGUGAAGGAUGAAAUCCCUCGGGAUGUAAACUUCGCAAGAAUAGGAAGAAUUAGUGGGGGCUAAUACUCCCCAUGAUGACGGUACUAUUUGUAAGCUCCGGCUAACUCCGUGCCAGCAGCCGCGGUAAUACGGGGGGAGCAAGCGUUGUUCGGAUUUACUGGGCGUAAAGGGCGCGUAGGCGGCCAGCGCAAGUCAGUUGUGAAAUCUCCGGGCUUAACUCGGAAAGGUCAACUGAUACUGCGCGGCUAGAGUGCAGAAGGGGCAACUGGAAUUCUCGGUGUAGCGGUGAAAUGCGUAGAUAUCGAGAGGAAC
Molecule: ribosomal RNA, 624 nt
Filed under: uncultured bacterium
Lineage: Bacteria
Description: bacterial SSU rRNA
Rfam family: Bacterial small subunit ribosomal RNA
Source: RNAcentral